Molecule: microRNA precursor, 85 nt
Organism: Medicago truncatula (barrel medic)
Lineage: Eukaryota; Viridiplantae; Streptophyta; Magnoliopsida; Fabales; Fabaceae
Rfam family: MIR2617 microRNA precursor family
Source: Rfam
AAGUAGUGUGGCAUGCCCGUUGUUGUUGAACUCUGAUAUUUUAUUUAUUAUUUAAUUGUUUGGGUUAACGGGGUGUUACAAUAAU